AGUGAACGCUGGCGGUAGGCCUAACACAUGCAAGUCGAACGGCAGCACAGUAAGAGCUUGCUCUUACGGGUGGCGAGUGGCGGACGGGUGAGGAAUACAUCGGAAUCUACUUUUUCGUGGGGGAUAACGUAGGGAAACUUACGCUAAUACCGCAUACGACCUACGGGUGAAAGCAGGGGAUCUUCGGACCUUGCGCGAUUGAAUGAGCCGAUGUCGGAUUAGCUAGUUGGCGGGGUAAAGGCCCACCAAGGCGACGAUCCGUAGCUGGUCUGGGAGGAUGAUCAUCCACACUGGGACUGAGACACGGUCCAGACUCCGACGGGGGGCAGCAGUGGGGAAUAUUGGACAAUGGGCGCAAGCCGGAUCCAGCCAUACCGCGUGGGGGAAGAAGGCCUUCGGGUUAAAGCCCUUUUGUUGGGAAGGAAAAGCAGCAGGUUAAUACCCCGCUGUUCUGACGGUACCCAAAGAAUAAGCACCGGCUAACUUCGUG
This 490-nucleotide ribosomal RNA is filed under the name uncultured bacterium. RNAcentral describes it as "partial 16S ribosomal RNA". It matches the Rfam family "Bacterial small subunit ribosomal RNA", at positions 29 to 507 of the family's 1533-position model. The record is from RNAcentral.